This 429-nucleotide ribosomal RNA is filed under the name Gemmatimonadota bacterium. RNAcentral describes it as "Gemmatimonadetes bacterium partial 16S ribosomal RNA". It matches the Rfam family "Bacterial small subunit ribosomal RNA", at positions 355 to 776 of the family's 1533-position model. Lineage: Bacteria; Pseudomonadati; Gemmatimonadota. The record is from RNAcentral.
UAGGGAAUCUUCGGCAAUGGACGAAAGUCUGACCGAGCAACGCCGCGUGAGUGAAGAAGGUUUUCGGAUCGUAAAACUCUGUUGUUAGAGAAGAACAAGGACGUUAGUAACUGAACGUCCCCUGACGGUAUCUAACCAGAAAGCCACGGCUAACUACGUGCCAGCAGCCGCGGUAAUACGUAGGUGGCAAGAGUUGUCCGGAUUUAUUGGGCGUAAAGCGAGCGCAGGCGGUUUCUUAAGUCUGAUGUGAAAGCCCCCGGCUUAACCGGGGAGGGUCAUUGGAAACUGGGAGACUUGAGUGCAGAAGAGGAGAGUGGAAUUCCAUGUGUAGCGGUGAAAUGCGUAGAUAUAUGGAGGAACACCAGUGGCGAAGGCGGCUCUCUGGUCUGUAACUGACGCUGAGGCUCGAAAGCGUGGGGAGCAAACAGG